RNAcentral lists this ribosomal RNA (696 nucleotides) under Bacillus sp. (in: firmicutes). RNAcentral describes it as "bacterial SSU rRNA". It matches the Rfam family "Bacterial small subunit ribosomal RNA", at positions 75 to 755 of the family's 1533-position model. Lineage: Bacteria; Bacillati; Bacillota; Bacilli; Caryophanales; Bacillaceae. The record is from RNAcentral.
GGAGCUUGCUCCCUGAUGUUAGCGGCGGACGGGUGAGUAACACGUGGGUAACCUGCCUGUAAGACUGGGAUAACUCCGGGAAACCGGGGCUAAUACCGGAUGCUUGUUUGAACCGCAUGGUUCAAACAUAAAAGGUGGCUUCGGCUACCACUUACAGAUGGACCCGCGGCGCAUUAGCUAGUUGGUGAGGUAACGGCUCACCAAGGCAACGAUGCGUAGCCGACCUGAGAGGGUGAUCGGCCACACUGGGACUGAGACACGGCCCAGACUCCUACGGGAGGCAGCAGUAGGGAAUCUUCCGCAAUGGACGAAAGUCUGACGGAGCAACGCCGCGUGAGUGAUGAAGGUUUUCGGAUCGUAAAGCUCUGUUGUUAGGGAAGAACAAGUACCGUUCGAAUAGGGCGGUACCUUGACGGUACCUAACCAGAAAGCCACGGCUAACUACGUGCCAGCAGCCGCGGUAAUACGUAGGUGGCAAGCGUUGUCCGGAAUUAUUGGGCGUAAAGGGCUCGCAGGCGGUUUCUUAAGUCUGAUGUGAAAGCCCCCGGCUCAACCGGGGAGGGUCAUUGGAAACUGGGGAACUUGAGUGCAGAAGAGGAGAGUGGAAUUCCACGUGUAGCGGUGAAAUGCGUAGAGAUGUGGAGGAACACCAGUGGCGAAGGCGACUCUCUGGUCUGUAACUGACGCUGAGGAGCG